GAUUGGUGCUUGCAUCAUGAUUUACAUUUGAGUGAGUGGCGAACUGGUGAGUAACACGUGGGAAACCUGCCCAGAAGCGGGGGAUAACACCUGGAAACAGAUGCUAAUACCGCAUAACAACUUGGACCGCAUGGUCCGAGUUUGAAAGAUGGCUUCGGCUAUCACUUUUGGAUGGUCCCGCGGCGUAUUAGCUAGAUGGUGGGGUAACGGCUCACCAUGGCAAUGAUACGUAGCCGACCUGAGAGGGUAAUCGGCCACAUUGGGACUGAGACACGGCCCAAACUCCUACGGGAGGCAGCAGUAGGGAAUCUUCCACAAUGGACGAAAGUCUGAUGGAGCAACGCCGCGUGAGUGAAGAAGGGUUUCGGCUCGUAAAACUCUGUUGUUAAAGAAGAACAUAUCUGAGAGUAACUGUUCAGGUAUUGACGGUAUUUAACCAGAAAGCCACGGCUAACUACGUGCCAGCAGCCGCGGUAAUACGUAGGUGGCAAGCGUUGUCCGGAUUUAUUGGGCGUAAAGCGAGCGCAGGCGGUUUUUUAAGUCUGAUGUGAAAGCCUUCGGCUCAACCGAAGAAGUGCAUCGGAAACUGGGAAACUUGAGUGCAGAAGAGGACAGUGGAACUCCAUGUGUAGCGGUGAAAUGCGUAGAUAUAUGGAAGAACACCAGUGGCGAAGGCGGCUGUCUGGUCUGUAACUGACGCUGAGGCUCGAAAGUAUGGGUAGCAAACAGGAUUAGAUACCCUGGUAGUCCAUACCGUAAACGAUGAAUGCUAAGUGUUGGAGGGUUUCCGCCCUUCAGUGCUGCAGCUAACGCAUUAAGCAUUCCGCCUGGGGAGUACGGCCGCAAGGCUGAAACUCAAAGGAAUUGACGGGGGCCCGCACAAGCGGUGGAGCAUGUGGUUUAAUUCGAAGCUACGCGAAGAACCUUACCAGGUCUUGACAUACUAUGCAAAUCUAAGAGAUUAGACGUUCCCUUCGGGGACAUGGAUACAGGUGGUGCAUGGUUGUCGUCAGCUCGUGUCGUGAGAUGUUGGGUUAAGUCCCGCAACGAGCGCAACCCUUAUUAUCAGUUGCCAGCAUUAAGUUGGGCACUCUGGUGAGACUGCCGGUGACAAACCGGAGGAAGGUGGGGAUGACGUCAAAUCAUCAUGCCCCUUAUGACCUGGGCUACACACGUGCUACAAUGGAUGGUACAACGAGUUGCGAACUCGCGAGAGUAAGCUAAUCUCUUAAAGCCAUUCUCAGUUCGGAUUGUAGGCUGCAACUCGCCUACAUGAAGUCGGAAUCGCUAGUAAUCGCGGAUCAGCAUGCCGCGGUGAAUACGUUCCCGGGCCUUGUACACACCGCCCGUCACACCAUGAGAGUUUGUAACACCCAAAGUCGGUGG
RNAcentral lists this ribosomal RNA (1386 nucleotides) under Lactiplantibacillus plantarum. Its description in RNAcentral is "bacterial SSU rRNA". It matches the Rfam family "Bacterial small subunit ribosomal RNA", at positions 71 to 1433 of the family's 1533-position model. The record is from RNAcentral. Lineage: Bacteria; Bacillati; Bacillota; Bacilli; Lactobacillales; Lactobacillaceae.